UUAAAACAAAUUGAAAUAAAAAGAUUAUAGUUGUGUAAAAAGAGGCUUCUUCUUCUUCUUCUUCUUCUUUUAAUUCUCUACAUACAAAAAGCUAAUGGUCAAUGUGAAUGUUGGCAUGUCAAAUUGUUCUUCCACUACUAACAAUUCUUCAAUUUCAAGGCAUUGUGGCAAACAGAAGAUAUUGAGUCAUCCACUAUGAGUGAGAGAGGGAGAUUCUGCAGCAAAAUAAGACUAUGGACUAAAUUUUCAAAAUAAGUCAAGUUUGAUUUAUACAAGCUCGUUCAGAAAAGUUUAGGGACCGGGAUGAUCCUUCACUUCAACUAUUGUUAGUCAGCAACAAAUAAAAUUGUAAAAGUUGAUUCUUCUUUCAUUUGGCAACAUUUACAAUCACAAUAAAAAAACAUUUUACACCAAAAGAAUUCUCAUAUCUAUUCUUCUAUAUUUGUAUAGUUCUGUACCUAUGCAU
This is a long non-coding RNA of Mercurialis annua (annual mercury), 466 nucleotides long. RefSeq lists it as uncharacterized. The transcript is spliced from 2 exons. The record is from RefSeq and is a predicted model, not a curated record. NCBI's taxonomy places the organism in Eukaryota, Viridiplantae, Streptophyta, Magnoliopsida, Malpighiales, Euphorbiaceae.